RNAcentral lists this ribosomal RNA (834 nucleotides) under uncultured Cortinarius. Its description in RNAcentral is "eukaryotic LSU rRNA". It matches the Rfam family "Eukaryotic large subunit ribosomal RNA", at positions 72 to 889 of the family's 3401-position model. Lineage: Eukaryota; Fungi; Basidiomycota; Agaricomycetes; Agaricales; Cortinariaceae. The record is from RNAcentral.
GGAUUCCCCUAGUAACUGCGAGUGAAGCGGGAAAAGCUCAAAUUUAAAAUCUGGCGGUCUUUUGGCUGUCCGAGUUGUAAUCUAGAGAAGUGUUAUCCGCGCUGGACCGUGUACAAGUCUCCUGGAAUGGAGCAUCAUAGAGGGUGAGAAUCCCGUCUUUGACAUGGACUGCCAGGGCUUUGUGAUGCGCUCUCAAAGAGUCGAGUUGUUUGGGAAUGCAGCUCAAAAUGGGUGGUAAAUUCCAUCUAAAGCUAAAUAUUGGCGAGAGACCGAUAGCGAACAAGUACCGUGAGGGAAAGAUGAAAAGAACUUUGGAAAGAGAGUUAAACAGUACGUGAAAUUGCUGAAAGGGAAACGCUUGAAGUCAGUUGCGUUGUCCAGGGAUCAACCUUGCUUUUGCUUGGUGCACUUCCUGGUAUGACAGGUCAGCAUCAGUUUUGACUAUUGGAAAAAGGCCAAGGGAAUGUGGCAUCUCUGGAUGUGUUAUAGCCCUUGGUCACAUACAAUGGUUGGGAUUGAGGAACUCAGCACGCCGCAAGGCCGGGUUUUAAACCACGUACGUGCUUAGGAUGCUGGCAAUAUGGCUUUAAUCGACCCGUCUUGAAACACGGACCAAGGAGUCUAACAUGCCUGCGAGUGUUUGGGUGGAAAACCCGAGCGCGUAAUGAAAGUGAAAUGUUGAGAUCCCUGUCGUGGGGAGCAUCGACGCCCGGACCAGACCUCUUGUGACGGUUCCGCGGUAGAGCAUGUAUGUUGGGACCCGAAAGAUGGUGAACUAUGCCUGAAUAGGGUGAAUCCAGAGGAAACUCUGGUGGAGGCUCGUAGCGAUUCUGA